AGUCACUGACAUUAGAUACCCCCUGUAGUCCUAGCCGUAAACGAUACUCGCUAGGUGUCGGCCACGGUGCGACCGUUGUCGGUGCCGUAGGGAAGCCGUGAAGCGAGGCCACCUGGGAAGUACGGGCCGCAAAGGCUGAAACUUAAAGGGAAUUGGCGGGGAGCACAACAACGGUGGAGCUUGCGGUUUAAUUGGAUUCAACGCCGGAAAUCUUACCGGGACCGACAGCAACAUGAAGGCCAGGCUGAAGACUUUGCCGGAUUAGCUG
This 268-nucleotide ribosomal RNA is filed under the name uncultured archaeon. RNAcentral describes it as "partial 16S ribosomal RNA". It matches the Rfam family "Archaeal small subunit ribosomal RNA", at positions 718 to 982 of the family's 1478-position model. The record is from RNAcentral.